This 460-nucleotide ribosomal RNA is filed under the name uncultured bacterium. RNAcentral describes it as "partial 16S ribosomal RNA". It matches the Rfam family "Bacterial small subunit ribosomal RNA", at positions 338 to 795 of the family's 1533-position model. The record is from RNAcentral.
CCUACGGGUGGCAGCAGUGAGGAAUAUUGGUCAAUGGACGAGAGUCUGAACCAGCCAAGUAGCGUGAAGGAUGACUGCCCUAUGGGUUGUAAACUUCUUUUAUAUGGGAAUAAAAUGUUCCACGUGUGGGAUUUUGUAUGUACCAUAUGAAUAAGGAUCGGCUAACUCCGUGCCAGCAGCCGCGGUAAUACGGAGGAUCCGAGCGUUAUCCGGAUUUAUUGGGUUUAAAGGGGGCGUAGGUUGAAUGUUAAGUCAGUUGUGAAAGUUUGCGGCUUAACCGUAAAAUUGCAGUUGAAACUGGCAGUCUUGAGUACAGUAGAGGUGGGCGGAAUUCGUGGUGUAGCGGUGAAAUGCUUAGAUAUCACGAAGAACUCCGAUUGCGAAGGCAGUUCACUGGACUGCAACUGACACUGAGGCUCGAAAGUGUGGGUAUCAAACAGGAUUAGAUACCCGGGUAGUC